RNAcentral lists this ribosomal RNA (497 nucleotides) under uncultured bacterium. Its description in RNAcentral is "partial 16S ribosomal RNA". It matches the Rfam family "Bacterial small subunit ribosomal RNA", at positions 28 to 507 of the family's 1533-position model. The record is from RNAcentral.
GAUGAACGCUGGCGGCGUGCCUAAUACAUGCAAGUCGAGCGAACGGACGAGAAGCUUGCGUCUCUGAUGUUAGCGGCGGACGGGUGAGUAACACGUGGAUAGCCUACCUAUAAGACUGGGAUAACUACGGGAAACCGGAGAUAAUACCGGAUAAUAUUUUGAACCGCAUGGUUCAAAAGUGAAAGACGGUCUGGCUGUCACAUAGAGAUGGAUCCGCGCUGCAUUAGCUAGUUGGUAAGGUAACGGCUUACCAAGGCAACGAUGCAUAGCCGACCUGAGAGGGUGAUCAGCCACACUGGAACUGAGACACGGUCCAGACUCCUACGGGAGGCAGCAGUAGGGAAUCUUCCGCAAAGGGCGAAAGCCUGACGGAGCAACGCCGCGUGAGUGAUGAAGGUCUUCGGAUCGUAAAACUCUGUUAUUAGGGAAGAACAUAUGUGUAUGUAACUGUGCACAUCUUGACGGUACCUAAUCAGAAAGCCACGGCUAACUACGUG